RNAcentral lists this ribosomal RNA (253 nucleotides) under uncultured bacterium. RNAcentral describes it as "partial 16S ribosomal RNA". It matches the Rfam family "Bacterial small subunit ribosomal RNA", at positions 524 to 776 of the family's 1533-position model. The record is from RNAcentral.
UACAGAGGUCUCAAGCGUUGUUCGGAAUCACUGGGCGUAAAGCGUGCGUAGGCUGUUUCGUAAGUCGUGUGUGAAAGGCGCGGGCUCAACCCGCGGACGGCACAUGAUACUGCGAGACUAGAGUAAUGGAGGGGGAACCGGAAUUCUCGGUCUAGCAGUGAAAUGCGUAGAUAUCGAGAGGAACACUCGUGGCGAAGGCGGGUUCCUGGACAUUAACUGACGCUGAGGCACGAAGGCCAGGGGAGCGAAAGGG